This 365-nucleotide ribosomal RNA is filed under the name Ceratobasidiaceae sp. UAMH 6093. Its description in RNAcentral is "eukaryotic LSU rRNA". The stretch from base 304 to 365 matches the Rfam family "Eukaryotic large subunit ribosomal RNA", at positions 1 to 62 of the family's 3401-position model. The record is from RNAcentral. Lineage: Eukaryota; Fungi; Basidiomycota; Agaricomycetes; Cantharellales; Ceratobasidiaceae.
GUGAAUCAUCGAAUCUUUGAACGCACCUUGCGCUCCUUGGUAUUCCUUGGAGCAUGCCUGUUUGAGUAUCAUGAAAUUCUCAAAGUAAACCUUUUGUUAAUUCAACUGGCCUUGCUUUGGAUUUGGAGGUCUUGCAGAUGUCACAGUCUGCUCCUCUUAAAUAUAUUAGCUGGAUCUCAGUAUACACUUGGUUCCACUCGGCGUGAUAAGUAUCACUCGCUGAGGACACUGUAAAAGGUGGCCAGGCAAUGCAGAUGAACCGCUUCUAAUAGUCCAUUCACUUGGACAAUUACAUUUAUGAUCUGAUCUCAAAUCAGGUAGGACUACCCGCUGAACUUAAGCAUAUCAAUAAGCGGAGGAAAAGA